CUACGGGGCGCUCCAGUGGGGAAUUUUGGACAAUGGGCGAAAGCCUGAUCCAGCCAUUCCGCGUGAGUGAUGAAGGCCUUCGGGUUGUAAAGCUCUUUCGGCCGGGAAGAAAUCGUGCAGGCUAAUAUCCUGCAUGGAUGACGGUACCGGACCAAGAAGCACCGGCUAACUACGUGCCAGCAGCCGCGGUAAUACGUAGGGUGCGAGCGUUAAUCGGAAUUACUGGGCGUAAAGCGUGCGCAGGCGGAUGUUUAAGCCAGAUGUGAAAUCCCCGGGCUUAACCUGGGAAUGGCAUUUGGAACUGGACAUCUAGAGUGUGUCAGAGGGGGGUGGAAUUCCACGUGUAGCAGUGAAAUGCGUAGAGAUGUGGAGGAACACCGAUGGCGAAGGCAGCCCCCUGGGAUAACACUGACGCUCAUGCACGAAAGCGUGGGGAGCAAACAGGAUUAGAUACCCUCGUAGUC
RNAcentral lists this ribosomal RNA (464 nucleotides) under uncultured bacterium. Its description in RNAcentral is "partial 16S ribosomal RNA". It matches the Rfam family "Bacterial small subunit ribosomal RNA", at positions 339 to 795 of the family's 1533-position model. The record is from RNAcentral.